Pongo abelii (Sumatran orangutan) is the source of this 148-nucleotide unclassified non-coding RNA. It matches the Rfam family "Metazoan signal recognition particle RNA". From Rfam's summary of the family: The signal recognition particle (SRP) is a universally conserved ribonucleoprotein. It is involved in the co-translational targeting of proteins to membranes. NCBI's taxonomy places the organism in Eukaryota, Metazoa, Chordata, Mammalia, Primates, Hominidae. The record is from Ensembl.
GCUGGGCACAGUGGUGUGUGCCUGUAAUCCCAGCUACUUGGGAGGCUGAGGCAGGAGAAUUGCUUGAACCCGGGAGGCGGAGGUUGCAGUAAGCCAAGACGGGGCCACUGCAUUCCGACCUGGGUGACAGAGCCAGACUCUGUCUCAA